UCUCUGGUAGUAUAGUGGUGAGUAUCCGCGCCUGUCACGUGCGAGACCGGGGUUCGAUUCCCCGCCAGAGAG
Strongyloides venezuelensis is the source of this 72-nucleotide transfer RNA. It matches the Rfam family "tRNA". Rfam says of the family: Transfer RNA (tRNA) molecules are approximately 80 nucleotides in length. Their secondary structure includes four short double-helical elements and three loops (D, anti-codon, and T loops). Further hydrogen bonds mediate the characteristic L-shaped molecular structure. tRNAs have two regions of fundamental functional importance: the anti-codon, which is responsible for specific mRNA codon recognition, and the 3' end, to which the tRNAs corresponding amino acid is attached (by aminoacyl-tRNA synthetases). tRNAs cope with the degeneracy of the genetic code in two manners: having more than one tRNA (with a specific anti-codon) for a particular amino acid; and 'wobble' base-pairing, i.e. permitting non-standard base-pairing at the 3rd anti-codon position. Lineage: Eukaryota; Metazoa; Nematoda; Chromadorea; Rhabditida; Strongyloididae. The record is from Rfam.